Molecule: transfer RNA, 77 nt
Filed under: Staphylococcus aureus
Lineage: Bacteria; Bacillati; Bacillota; Bacilli; Caryophanales; Staphylococcaceae
Also listed under: 8 other names
Description: tRNA-Ile
Rfam family: tRNA
About the family: Transfer RNA (tRNA) molecules are approximately 80 nucleotides in length.
Source: RNAcentral
GGGCCUAUAGCUCAGCUGGUUAGAGCGCACGCCUGAUAAGCGUGAGGUCAGUGGUUCGAGUCCACUUAGGCCCACCA